Molecule: ribosomal RNA, 271 nt
Filed under: uncultured bacterium
Lineage: Bacteria
Description: partial 16S ribosomal RNA
Rfam family: Bacterial small subunit ribosomal RNA
Source: RNAcentral
CCCGGCGACCGGCGCACGGGUGAGUAACACGUAUGAAACCUGCCCAUAGCAGGGGGAUAAGCGGAAGAAAUUCCGUCUAAUACCGCGUAACAACCCGAGGAGGCAUCUCCUCGGGUUUAAAGGAAGCGAUUCCGGCUACGGAUGGUCAUGCGUCGCAUUAGCUAGUUGGCGGGGUAACGGCCCACCAAGGCGACGAUGCGUAGGGGUUCUGAGAGGAAGGUCCCCCACACUGGUACUGAGACACGGACCAGACUCCUACGGGAGGCAGCAG